This 461-nucleotide long non-coding RNA is filed under the name Ananas comosus (pineapple). RNAcentral's name for it is "long non-coding RNA (ACOM_LNC037535)". Lineage: Eukaryota; Viridiplantae; Streptophyta; Magnoliopsida; Poales; Bromeliaceae. The record is from RNAcentral.
UAUUACAUUCAUUCAGCCUUUAUAAUACAAUUCGAUUAUACAUUGAACUUCCAAAACAUAGUAUAAAGCUUACAUUCAUCCCAGAAUAUCUCACAUCCUAUACAUCAUCUACUCUCAAAGCAUAAAAGGUGACUCUAAUACAGAAAUAGGAAAGUAGACUAAUGCAACUAGGGCGCUAAGCCCUUACCGCGAUCCUCGCCGUGUGAACUCGCGCUCAGCCCUGUAGUAAAAUGGGGGUGAGAACUAACUUCCUUAGUUCCCAGUGGGUUCGGCCGCCGACUCCGCCGAUCUCCCCACUAGGUCCAAGUUGGGCACAAGUAAAUAAUCGAUAGAUAGAUAGAUAAGGAAAGCGGUAAAUGACAGGAGUAAAGCUACUCUACUAUGCCCAAUCAUAAAUAUAUGAAUGCAUGUACAAUGAAAUAGGUAAGCAACUAACCUGUUAUCAUGUCCAAAGGUAAAGC